AGCCAGCAGCGCCCGGUCGGCCGCUGGCCGCAGGAGAAAGUAAACAACACCCCAAGUGUCCGGGAACAAAGGCAAGUUGUCUUUCUACGGUGCCGCAGCCGUGUGCCUCUUCUGAAGAAUAAGAGCUAUUAUUAUUCUUUAUGUCUUAUCCUUUUUUUUUUUUAAAAAAAAAACCAAGUUUCCUUCUAAGGGAAAUAAACACCAAAGGUAGGAUUCCAAGGAAAUGACUCACAGCGGCUGGCAGGGCUCUGGCGGGGCUGGCCCGGGCCCCCGCGCUCCAGCCCGCAGCAGAUGUCGGCCCGGCCUUCCCUCCCUCCCUUGCCGGCCAAACCCGCUGGAAGCCCGCGGUUGCGGGAGCGCCCUGCGCCCGUGGGACCUGGCGGCGAGGACGCCUAUUCCCUGCUUCUGCGACCACAGCUGGGCACUCGGAAAGUUGCUAGGGCCGAAGAGGCGGGAGGGGAGGAAGGGAAGCGAGAGGCGGAGGCGUGGACCAGGCGGGCAGCAGCCUCAGCCCGCCGAGGAGUGAUCCUCCGACUGUGAAAAACCAGACCUCUGGCUGCCUGGCUCCCUAGGAAUCAAGAAGACGCACAGACUGAAAAUCAAGGGAGGAAGGAACAAGAUCAAGGAUGAGGAUUAGCAUCUGCAAAUUGAACUCUAUCUAAUUUGCAUGUUUAUUUCUUAGAAUUGUAAUUAAAUUUGUGUAAUAAAUGUUUUCCAUUUCAUUUGUACACUUAAAACUUGGGUGACUGACAUGCAGUUAAGUGAAUUUCCUUUUUUUAAAAGCAAAUGUAGAUUAUUCAAUAAAGCAGCAAACCAAUAUUAAACAUAAUUAGAACUAAUUUGUUUUGAAGGUGUUUUUGUUGAACUUUGUACAUUAAAGACUCUCAGAGGUUUUAAGGGUAUUAGGAAGCUGAGAGAUGGCAAUUAUGCUUAAAACAGAUGAACCCAACAGCCUACCAAGAGCAUUAUUUCAUUUUUUCCAAAAGACAUUCCAGGGUUGCAUGCCUAAAAUUGGGAAUUGGGCAUCCAUCUUGGCUUUAUUCUGAACCAUAUUAAAUUGCAUUGGCUCAUGCAUGAUGUGGGCCAUUAUGAUGAUAAUUUAAGAAUUGUAAAGAUGCCAUUUUGUGCAGUCAAUGGAAGUUGCAUGUCCAGGUUAAGAGUAGAGUAUAAUUUUCAUCUGGGUGGGAGAGGAGGGUUAGGAAAGGCACAAGGGCAUUUAAAGCAGUGCAAGUACGUAGAAAUCCAAAUUUCCAAAUAAUCUAAAACUGGUUAUUGUCAAACUCAAAAGAACUAAAUGUGAGGGUUUGGAGGCAUGGCUUAUUAUGGUUUUUAUCUCCCUAUAUUAAAGUUUUAUGGCAUUUAAAGGACUAUGGGUAAAUCCCCAUGUACACUUGGCUGUGUGAAAAUACAUAAAAUCAAAAGGAGCAAAUUAAGCAUAAAAUUGAGAAAUAACAUGAGACUAAGUUAUCAGCAUGGGUGCACUGGCAUCUUUGGAGCUUUGGCUCGGAGAAAUGAGCCUUCUGGGAAACUGGCAUUGCCCUUGGGUGGAGAAGACUCUUGGCUUUAAUGUUACAACAAAAUGGUAUCACAAGUAUCAAAUCAUUGUACUUCACAGCAUCCUUGCAGUUCUGAGUAUGAACUAGACCCUGUCCUCAUCAGAUACAUUAGGUUAGCAUGUUUUACUGACAGCUUUCCCUGCCCUACCUUUAAUCCUAAGCUUAAUGUUUUUUGAGAUUCAAUACCCAACUGUUGACAACAUGAACCUGUGUCUACAAGUACAAGAGGCAGACAAAUGUCUAUGGAAUGAGAAACCUCAUUACAAAUUUAAGGUGACUAUGUGGUAGCUAUGGCAUGAAAAAAGAACCAACUAUAAAUCAAUAAUGAAAAAUUUGGAAUGAGUAAUUGUUAUUUAUAAUGAGGUACAAUAUUUAAUUGACAACUAUGAUGUCAUCAUUUUGGGGUGUGUGUGUGUGUGUAUGUGUGUGUGUGUG
This 1991-nucleotide long non-coding RNA is filed under the name Homo sapiens (human). Its description in RNAcentral is "non-protein coding SERTAD4-AS1:5". Lineage: Eukaryota; Metazoa; Chordata; Mammalia; Primates; Hominidae. The record is from RNAcentral.